GGCCCUAGCUUGCUAGGUGUCCUUAGUGGCGAACGGGUGAGUAACGCGUGGGAACCUGCCCUAGAGUGGGGAACAACCUUUGGAAACGAAGGCUAAUACCGCAUACGCUCUGAGGAGGAAAGGCUUCGGCCGCUCUUGGAUGGUCCCGCGUCUGAUUAGCUUGUUGGUGGGGUAACGGCCUACCAAGGCGACGAUCAGUAGCUGGUCUGAGAGGAUGAUCAGCCACACUGGGACUGAGACACGGCCCAGACUCCUACGGGAGGCAGCAGUGGGGAAUAUUGGACAAUGGGGGAAACCCUGAUCCAGCAAUGCCGCGUGAGUGAAGAAGGCCCUAGGGUUGUAAAACUCUUUCACUGAUGAAGAUGAUGACGGUAAUCAGAGAAGAAGCCCCGGCUAACUCCGUGCCAGCAGCCGCGGUAAUACGGAGGGGGCUAGCGUUGUUCGGAUUUACUGGGCGUAAAGCGCACGUAGGCGGCGUAUCAAGUCAGAGGUGAAAGGCCUGGGCUCAACCUAGGAACGGCCUUUGAUACUGGUAUGCUUGAGUUCGGAAGAGGGUAGUGGAAUUCCAAGUGUAGAGGUGAAAUUCGUAGAUAUUUGGAAGAACA
RNAcentral lists this ribosomal RNA (605 nucleotides) under Varunaivibrio sulfuroxidans. RNAcentral's name for it is "bacterial SSU rRNA". It matches the Rfam family "Bacterial small subunit ribosomal RNA", at positions 71 to 708 of the family's 1533-position model. The record is from RNAcentral. Lineage: Bacteria; Pseudomonadati; Pseudomonadota; Alphaproteobacteria; Rhodospirillales; Magnetovibrionaceae.